Non-coding RNA from Pelobates cultripes (western spadefoot toad), 204 nucleotides. Lineage: Eukaryota; Metazoa; Chordata; Amphibia; Anura; Pelobatidae. The record is from the annotation of a GenBank genome assembly.
AAAAAGGUACGUUUUUACCCCUUUCCCCCUUCCAGAGCCGGGCGGGAGUAGGACCCUGAGGGUGGGGGCACCCUCAAGGUGCUAUAGUGCAAGGAAAACGAGUAUGUCUUCCUGGCACUAUAGUGGUCCUUUAAACCUGGAGGCUCAACCAUCAAGGGAGUGUGAUAGUUGCAGGUUAAGGCCGAAUGAUGUUUCUCAAUACAU